RNAcentral lists this unclassified non-coding RNA (643 nucleotides) under Hevea brasiliensis (rubber tree). The record is from RNAcentral. Lineage: Eukaryota; Viridiplantae; Streptophyta; Magnoliopsida; Malpighiales; Euphorbiaceae.
AAAAAAAAAAAAAAAAAAGAGUGAUAUUGGUAAUGGUCGUUAGGUAACAGUAACAGCUGUACUUGGCUGUUAAGUAACAGGUAAUGGCCGUUACUCACGUCAGCACAAAGUCCUUAUUUUGGUGCAGAGAGCUUGUUUCUUUUUGGUUUCUACGCUUCCCCUCGUGGUUCUCUCAAAUUUUCCAUCUUUUACUAAUUUUUCAUUUCUUGUGCUAGGAUUAUCAAUUAUUGAACGUUUAUUUGAAGUGAAUGGGAGCAAUUAAUCAGACUUUUACAUUCAUAUCGUACAACUGAAGUAAAGAAUAUUGGUUGACACAUUGGAAAUCCAGCCGAAUUUCUUUUGGAAUUUGACAAUAGUAACCUUAUUUAAAUACAAAGUUGAAUGUUUUUGAGUCUCAAAUUGAAGUGACUGUUGAAAUUUAGUGUAAGCAUAAUGAUCAUCUAUUAAAUUAAGCCAAAUAGUUAACAUCCCUUUCUAAGAUGUAGUGAAUGCAAAUGUUAGUUGCAACUUUAAGCAGGUUAAUAUAUUGACGGUGAAGUUGGUUGUUUUAAGGUUACAGAUGGAGAGACAAAGUUAACAUGUCUGUUAUUCUCAUGGCAGGGGGAAUUCUUUGAGGGACCCAGCUUCCAAUGCUUAUGCACAG